GAUGAACGCUAGCGGGAGGCUUAACACAUGCAAGUCGAGGGGUAAAUGGUAGCAAUACUAUGAGACCGGCGGACGGGUGCGUAACGCGUAUGCAACAUACCUUGUGCAGGGGGGAUAGCCCGUGGAAACGCGGAUUAAUAUUCCAUAGUCCAGCUAUAUCGCAUGGUAUAGUUGGUAAAGAUUUAUCGGCACAAGUUUGGCAUGCGUCUGAUUAGCUUGUUGGUAGGGUAACGGCCUACCAAGGCUACGAUCAGUAGGGGUUCUGAGAGGAUUAACCCCCACACUGGUACUGAGACACGGACCAGACUCCUACGGGAGGCAGCAGUGAGGAAUAUUGGUCAAUGGGCGGAAGCCUGAACCAGCCAUCCCGCGUGAAGGAAGACAGCCUUACGGGUUGUAAACUUCUUUUCUGUCAGAAGAAUAAGCUUGUCGAGACGAGUGAUGCCGGUAUGACAGGAAUAAGCAUCGGCUAACUCCGUGCCAGCAGCCGCGGUAA
Molecule: ribosomal RNA, 496 nt
Filed under: uncultured bacterium
Lineage: Bacteria
Description: bacterial SSU rRNA
Rfam family: Bacterial small subunit ribosomal RNA
Source: RNAcentral